This 490-nucleotide ribosomal RNA is filed under the name uncultured bacterium. RNAcentral's name for it is "partial 16S ribosomal RNA". It matches the Rfam family "Bacterial small subunit ribosomal RNA", at positions 30 to 507 of the family's 1533-position model. The record is from RNAcentral.
AUUGAACGCUGGCGGCAGGCCUAACACAUGCAAGUCGAACGGUAACAGGAAGAAGCUUGCUUCUUUGCUGACGAGUGGCGGACGGGUGAGUAAUGUCUGGGAAACUGCCUGAUGGAGGGGGAUAACUACUGGAAACGGUAGCUAAUACCGCAUAACGUCGCAAGACCAAAGAGGGGGACCUUCGGGCCUCUUGCCAUCGGAUGUGCCCAGCUGGGCUUAGCUAGUAGGUGGGGUAACGGCUCACCUCGGCGACGAUCCCUAGCUGGUCUGAGAGGAUGACAAGCCACACUGGAACUGAGCCACGGUCCAGACUCCUACGGGAGGCAGCAGUGGGGAAUAUUGCACAAUGGGCGCAAGCCUGAUGCAGCCAUGCCGCGUGUAUGAAGAAGGCCUUCGGGUUGUAAAGUACUUUCAGCGGGGAGGAAGGGAGUAAAGUUAAUACCUUGGCUGAUUGACGUUACCCGCAGAAGAAGCACCGGCUAACUCCGUG